RNAcentral lists this long non-coding RNA (11464 nucleotides) under Manihot esculenta (cassava). RNAcentral describes it as "long non-coding RNA (MESC_LNC001445)". Lineage: Eukaryota; Viridiplantae; Streptophyta; Magnoliopsida; Malpighiales; Euphorbiaceae. The record is from RNAcentral.
UUUAUUUUUAGUAUUUUAAAAUUUAAUUGGAAUAUUUUAACCUUAAUAUGAUCUAAUCUUUCUAUAUUAUUGAAAAUAAUAUACUAUUAUCACUAAUCGGUUCGGUUUUUUCGAUUUUUUUCUGAUCAAAAUCGAACUGAACCGAAAUAACUAAAAUUUUUGAAAUUAAAAACCGAAUCAAACUGAAAUGAAUAAAAAACCAAACUAAAUUUUCAAAUUAAUUCAGUUCGGUAGAUUUUUUUUGUUUGAACUGAAUACUACUCACCCUAGUAAAUACCUUUGACUCAUUUCUAUUACCUGAAACAUACAACAAUUUUCCUUCUAUUGUACAAGCACUGGAACUCGAAUUGAAAAUACUUCCAGCUCAUUCGAAAUAUGCAUUUUUGAGGAGUAAUAACACACUUCCGGUCAUAAUCUCCUCCAAGUUGAAUUCUUUAGAAGUAAAUAAUUGAUUUGGAUGUUGAAUGAAUACAAAGGUGAAAGUAGAUGAAGUUUAAUAUGCCACUAAAUGUCUAACCUAGGACAGUAAAGGAAGGCGCUGCUUGGGAGGCAACCCAAGGUGAUAGGCUUACCAAAGCCUGUAUGUUGUCAAAUGUUUUACUUUCUUUUCAAAUUUUUUAUUUCAUCUAUUGUCUUCAAAAGCGAAGCUGAUUAUAUUUUUCUGGAUAGGUCUAAACUUUACGGAGAUCAUACAAGGCUCUCAUGGUUAUUUGAGAUUUACAUGGUUAAAUUAUUUAGUUUACUUUAUAAUUGCUCCUUAUAAGGUAAUUUUCUUUGAGAAUUUUAAAUGCUUUUAUUAUUUUUACUAUUUUAUUUUUACCUCUUAGAAUUACAACCUAACUCACCCUCCUAUUUGCUUCUUUUUCCCUCUCAUGCCAGCGACCUCUCCCCCUCUCUCUCCCUCUCAACUCCCCCCUCUUUUACAGACUAGCGAUGGUAAAGAAAAAGUCAAUUGCUGACUAGUCAGAGACUCCUCUGAUCACCACGCCCACAUCUAAGCAACGCCGACAAGACCCAUCAGACCACACUCGUGGCGAGACCACGAUAACGCUAUUGCCACCAAAAUAGACAGCUAAGAAGGAAAAAGUAAUGCCGGCCAUCGCAUCGUGACCAGAAGCUAUUGCACCAACAAUGGUGCCUUCUCCGAUUACAACAAGGCGAGCUACCUGUCCACAAGCAAAAUAUAAAGCUCUGAUGCCCAACAUGCAAGCUGAACCAGAAGAGGAAUGGGAAGUAAAGCCAAAGGUUCUGGAGAAAUUGAAGAAAAGGAAAAGCAACAAAGACUACCACUCUGAUUUUGGAGUCUUUCACUGGGAGCAGCAGUAAGGAUACAGCUUCAGACCAUAGUGGCAAAGAAAUAACGACCUCAGCAUAGGAUGCCGAUGACAGUAGCAGUAGCGAGGAGGUAUAACAUGUGUCCAUCCUAUGUUGAGUUGUGCAGAGAGUUUUACACUACUUCUAAAUUCUCAUAUGAUAUUCAAGAUUUCAAAUUAAAUAUACCCCUUGUUCGCUUUAGGUUAAGAGAUAAAUUGGUACAUUGCUCUAUUACCAAUUUCAAUCAUCAUUUAGGUGUCUAUGAUCAUGAAUAUGUAAAAAAAAGAUAUGCAUACUUGGAUUAUUUAUGUGAUUAUCCAGCAGAUUGGGAUCCAAAUAUGGUUUAUAAAGGGUUAAUAGGGAAUCCUAUAUUUGAAUUUAAGGGUGGUAAGUCCAAAGCAAACGAAAUUCAAAGUCCUGCCCUUAGAUACAUCCAUAAGUUCCUCUAUUAUACUUUUUCUGAUAAAAAUAAAGAUCCCACUAAACUAACUAAGUAUAAAUUAUUCUUUCUUUGGUGUAUGUUGCAUAAACACCAAGUCAAUUUUGGAUUUUAGUUAGCCUCCCAAUUCAAGACUAUUUCUGACAACAGACGUGGCAUUUAUUUAGGUUUUGUAAUUUUUAUGUUGGUUGUUAGUAUGGGUUUACUUGAUGCACAGAAUACUGAUUUACACAUUGUUGAGCACAUUCUUCCUUUAGAUAUUCAUGCACUUAAUUCUAUAGACUUACUUUGCCUCAAAGUGAGAAAAAAAAUUGUGUUUUGUCCUUCAAAUCCUAUCAUUCCUACUCGAUCACGCUUAUUUUAGAUAGAAGAAAAACCAGGCCCAUCUACCUCAGCUCUUGUAGAAUCUGAUGACAGUGCCCAACUAGCCGGUAUUGAAGCCAAAUUCUCGCAUAUUGAUGCCAAACUGGAUGUGAUACUCUCCCAUUUAGAAUUGCCUAUAUCCUAACUACUAGCAGCCUGAAGAUAUAGUACCAAUUUGCUUCUCAGGAAAGUUUUCUACACCCUCCAUUUCAUUUUUAUUUAUGCUUUGUGUCAUUGAACUUCUCUCGUUGCUUGCAUUUUGUUGCACGUUGAGAACAAUAUGAGGAGUAAGUGUGGGAGGGGGAGUAUUGAAGUGUUAUCAUUUUCUUUUGUGAUUUUUAUGAUGACUGUUGUACAUAUUCUUUUAUUUUUAUAUUCUCCUAAUUCAAUAAAAUAUUUUUUCCCAUCAUAAAAUAAAAGAUUAUUCAAUGUUUCUUCUUAAGCCGGUCAAACAUCUUAUCUAAGUAACUGACAACGGUUAUAUGUACAAUAAUUAUAUAUUGACCAUUAAUUAGUGUGGGACCUACAUGAAGUCUAUCAUAAUCAAAUGGUUUUAAUAAAAUCUUUGAACAUAUAAGGGUCGUAUGAUCAAAAUUUUCAAUUACCAAAUUCAUUCUGAAUAUACACCACAGAGGAAGAAAGGGAGAGAGAAUUUAAUUGGUGUAAUGUCUUGUUUGAAAUGGCUCUCUUAUUAUAUGAAUAUAAGACAGUAGAGAUUCUUGUUCAAUCUCUUAUGAUAAAAUCUCACAUCUUCUAAAGAGUUGUGUUGAGGCAUCAUCAGGUUCAGGGAAGUUAGGUACCAAAAAGGAUUGAGUGAAGCCAGAUACAACGUUUGACUGAUUGCAACCUGUCCUUGGCUCCAUUCCUGCUGCCCAAAAUAUCACUGAAAGAGCAACUGCAUUCAUCUGCAAAACGGUUACCACCAAACAUAAUUUUUUUCUUCUUUUCCUGAGUAGAAAAAAAAAAGUAAAUAAAAAACAUCUUUAAAAUGUUCAUUAAAAUCAAUUUAAACGAUGCUUAAGGUAUAAUUUGACAUGUUGGUUAUAAAUCUUCAUAUUAAUUCUUGGAAGAAUGAAAAGAAUUAACUUUUAACCUCAAUGUUGAACUAACACAUAUAUUCUAAGUUAAAAUCAUCCGGUAAUUCACAGUAUCUAAUACAAAAACAUGAGUCAUAACCAAUAAAAUUGCUCUAUAUUGAGAGCAAUUUAGACUUUUCGCGACACUUAAUAGUUAAAAUUAACGAAAGGAUUAAUUAAUAUAUUUUUUAAAACGUUAGGAAUAUUUUAUUAUAUUUUUUAAAAUUAUUUAUAAUAUAAGGAUUAAAUAAUAAAUUUAUUAAAUAAUUAUAACAAAAGGGUGAUUCAGUGUGAGAAGCAAAAGGAAGUCUAGAAUUUUUUUUUUUCUAGCAAAAUCCUGCAAGCCAUGACUCCUUCAUGCAUUGUUACUGACGAAUUUAGGCAAACUACAACAGUUUGGUAUAUCUAUGAUUUUUCAUCUUAUAAAGUUCAAGAUUAAAUAACCUGUGCUGCUGAAAUCAACAAAACGAUCAGGCGACUAAUCUUCAAAUGGAAUGUCAGAAAACUCUCUAUCUUUUUAUGGCACUCAUCAAUAAUUGAAGCAAUUUGCUGUUACAGAAGAUAAAACAGAGAAGCAAUGGUAAAAAAUUGAGAGUACAUUGAAAAGUAAUUUCACAAAAUAAGCAAAAUACACUGACCACCUGGGAACCUUUACGUAUAAAGAUGGGUUCAUAAUAAUAAAAAUUUUCCAUCCAGAGUAGUUGAUUAGGGAUGAUCAAGCAGAUUACUUGUGUAAAGGAAAACUUUUGAUAAUGAUUUUUAUUGCUAAAAGAAUCUCAAAUUACAAUGGUUCAAUUUUGAACCAAAAUCGAAAAAUCAAACAAUCAAAUUAUAUAUUUUAAAUUAAUUUAUAAUCUAGCUCCGGAAAUUUAGUAAAAUCCAUAAUUUAAUCUCCAUUAGUUCAAUAAUAAAUAAUUUAAUUUCUAAAAUUUUAUUUUAUUAAUAAAAUAAUCCUUUUGUAUAUCCAUCGUUAAACUAUAACAAUUUAGUCUUUUAGAUUUUAACUUUUUAUAAUAGUUUAAUCAUUUUAAUUUUAAUAAUUUAUAAUAACUUAAUUUUUAUAAUUUUAUUAUUUAUAAUAAUUUAGUCAAUUUAAUUUUAAUUGACUUCUUCGAUUAAUAAUUAUCUGUAGGUAAAAUUAAUCCAAGGAAUAUUUUGUUGAUAAAAUAAAAAACUCAAAUACUAAGAUGGGAGUAAAUUAUGAGUUUUGCAAAAAAUUCAAGAAUUGUACUGUAAGUUAUCCUAUAUUUUAAACAACCAAACCAAAUCAAUUGGAGACAAAUAUCCAUGCGUUGACCAAUGUCAAGGAAGCAUACCGCUACCACAUCCAUCUUGAAGAAAAUUAUGACAAUAACAGCCACUUCAAGGAAAAGAAGGCAGCAGGCUAUGAAAAUAUACUGGAAAAUAAAACACUAGGUCAAGGAAUAUUUCACUUGGUGAAUGAUCAAAUGAUAAAACAAGAACGUAUAAAUUCCAAAUAAUAUAGAUUCCAUUUACGCAUUUCGUUUUAUGUAUUUAGUUGAGAAAAUAAGUAAAAGCAAGUUCCUUUUUUAGCACACAAAAAAGAAAAAAAUAAAUUUUAUCGUAAAUUAUAAGACGAGCUGACAUGAGAUAGUAUUACUCUCUUCUCACUUAUUUAUUACUCUCGAGUCAAAUUUUUAUAUAGUACUUUUAAAAUUUAAUAGAAAGCGCUUUGUCAUACUUAAUCAGUUUGCAAUUCAUUGAGUUUCAAAUACCGAAAGAUUUAGACUAAAAAAUUAUAGAAUUUAUAAAGUAGUAUUUUGUUUUGCAUUUUUUAUAGCGGAUAAUUUUAGAGAUAUAUGAAAUAAUAUUAAGAAAGGAUACAGCACAGAUAGUGUAAUUGCUGAUAGAAUUAAAUGCAAUGUAAUAACAUAGGGUGCUCAAGAAGACAACAAUUCCCACCCCUAGACAUGUAUAUAUAAACCUGUAAAAUAGAAGAAAUAACAUAUUAUGAUAUUAACAUUUCAGACAAGAAAGAAAAAAAAAAUCUUUAAUUUCAAGUGAGGAGUAUACGUAUGGGUUAAAGACAGAAUGAUUAAAAAAAAGGGUGUGUUGAGUAAGAGUAGAUGGAAAAUUUACCAAGGAAAAGGCGGAGGUGAGGUGGGAUGUAGCUGAGAAAAAAAUUGAUGCCACUUCUUGUCCAGCCAAAGAGAGUAGAUGAUUAUUGCAAUCCCAAAGAAGAGCAUUAUCAAGUUAACUAACUUGAUUGAAUAGUACAAGCAACAUCUUGGACAUUCUAUUAUCAUAGCUAAUUUUUCUUUAACCUCUAUGUGUUGAGCCAUGGAAGUCCAUGUUACUUGUGCCUAUAAAAAUACGCUCCUUCCAAGCUUACCCUUCAUUUGAAAUGAAGUGCCAGUGUGCUUUACUGCCUUAGCAUGGGGGCACAAUAGGGAUUUGCAUGAGAGGUGGGUAGGGCUGUGUCACUGAUAGAGAGAGAGAGAGAGACAGACAGACCAAUUGCAUGGCGUUGAAUGACAGAUGCUAAAGACAUGGAGGUAACCCCCAUAGCCUAAGACCACCUAACAUUCAAAGCUCAAACUCAAUUAUUAAUAUGAAUAUACAACAAUAAUUUAUAAUAUAUAUAUAUAAUAAAUAAUAAAGUAUAUAAAUAUAAUUAAAAAAUUAAUAUAAAUAAUCAAAUAUAUAAAUAUAAUUAAAAAAAUUAAUAUUAAUUUUUCAUAAAUAAAUAAAUAUUUAUAUAUAUAUUAGUAAUAUCCAUAUUAAUAUUCCAAGAAAACUUAUCUGAAUUCACCUCAAAUGAAUUCAAGGCAGUAGAUUUUUUAUGAAAAAAUCAGAAGUGCAAUAAGAUAGAUGAUAGUUCACCAGUAUCUAGAUCAAAUUUUUAAUAAGACUCUGUUGAAUCUAUCACGAUCGUGGAAAUGAAUAAUAUACUCUUUAUAUAAGCUAUAAACACCUUUCUUCCUUGAACUAUGGGUAAGUUAGAUCUAUCCUAAAUUUAAUAUAUCAUAGCCUUUCCAUCCCAUAUUGAACUUUUAUAAAAGGAUGAUGAAUCUCACGUCGGCUGUCAAAAUAGAUAAUAAUGUGCUCAUUAUAUGAGCCACUCUUGCUCCUGGAGUGAAUUAGGUAGUAAAAAUGGGGAUUUUGAUGAUGAAUUAAAGGUCAAAACAAUUUAAGGAAGCAAUAAUCAAAAAAGAAAUAAAUCAAUGUAAAAAAAUUUUGGUUAAAGUGUAGAAUCCAUUUCAAUUUGAAAAUUAAUCACUAAAACAAAUAUACUUUUAUUCGUUCCAAUAAAUUAGUUAUAAUUAUAGAAGACGGUCUAUAUAACCAAUAUUUCCUUAGAUUUAAAUUAAUUAGAAAGCGUUCGCUAAUUAACCCUAGCCAACAAAUCGCCCAAAGAACGUCUUUAGGUUUUAUUCAUAAACUUCCUUAAAAAUUAGAGAGACCUAAUUUUAACUAACAAACCAAACUGCAUGGUGAGUUAAGUUAUAUCUUGCAAUUUCUUAGUGGGUUCACUAAUUAUUACUUGUUGUUAAAUAACCUAAGCAAUUACAGACUUCAAGCAUUCAAAUUAAUAAUAUAUUAUUUUGAAAUUAUAAACAAUGGAUCCUAUUAAUCAAACGACAAAGCAAUAAUAAUAUGAAGAAUUGAAUUUGUUCAUGUAUAAACUGAAAUUUCACCCUAACUUUAAUUAGAAAUAAAGAGUUUAGCCACUCCUAGUUUUAAAAGAAAAUACAAAAGAGAAGAUAGAAGUGAAGAUGAAGGUUGAUGCUGUAAAGAAGAUGUUUCGGUUAGGGGUGUAAACGAACCGAGUCGAGCCGAGCUUUGAAGAGCUCAAGCUUGGUUCGUUAAAAUUUUUUCGAGCUCGAGUCGAAUUCGAGCUUUACUCAUUUCGAACUCGAGCCGAGUAUUAAGAAGCUCAAACUUGGCUUGUUUAGCAAACGAGCUUAGACGAGUCGAGUUUUUAUCGAGCUGAGUCGAGCUUUUAUCGAGCUUAAUCUCGAAUAGUUCACGAGUAGUUUAAUUUAUUUACAUGUAUAAUGAGUUUUAGUUUAAAACUAAUAAGUUUAAAACUAAAAUAAUUUUAGUUAAAUAAGUAUAUCUACAAAUUAGCACGUAAACUUAUAAAGAUAAGCUUUUAAAUCUUAAUGAUCCAAAUAUAUGCAAGUUUAAGAGUGUAACUAAACUAUAUAGAGCUGAAUUUUAGGAAAUUUAGAUUUGGCUCAUGAAAGUAUAUGCAGGGUUUGAGUUUAUUUCUCUUAUGAUAGUAAUUUCAGUUUACUUAACGAGACUGUUCACGAGCCUAUUCGUGAGCCUGCUCAUGAACUCAGAAAUGAGCCAAGCUCAUGAGCCUUAACGAGCCGAAUACUAUGGAGCUCAAGCUUGGCUCGUUUACCAAACGAGCCUAAAAAUUAAGCUCGAGUUUGGCUCGUUUAGAAAUCGAGUCGAGCUCGGUCGAGUUUUUAUCGAAUCGAAUCUCGAAUAGCUCACGAACGAUUUGGUUCAUUUACACCCCUAGUUUCGGUUGUCCUCAAUGAUGAGCUUAUAUAGGUGCUUAACCCUAAUAAAAUCCUUUUGGAAAUAUAAAUUCUUCUUUACUUUAAAUUAGAAAUCAUUUCUUUAAUAUGUUUUUUUAUGGAUAGAACUCUUUGAUUUAAAAAGGAUAUGAUGCCGCACUUAAAGAGGAGAAAUUGCGAAAUCUAACUUUUAAUGAGGAGAGAUGAUAUUUUAAUUUUCAAAUCUGAAUUUUUUUCGCUCACUGUCAAGUUCUAUGCAGACCGUUGAUUUGUCCAGUUAUUUGGACAAAUCGUAGGUCAAAUCGAGAAUGGUUAACUCAGCUUGCGGGUCUGGCUCAUUCAUUGCUUCUGUGUAGAAUGAUCAUCCGAUAGAUUUUCCUAAAUCGCUAAUCAAGAUAAUUUCAGCGCUUUUAAACCGCUUAUCAAAAAUUUUCUGUGAUGCUAAAAAAAUAUGAAAAAUAUGUUAAAAUUACAUUUGAUCGAUAGUGAUAAAUUUUAUUAUACAGUAAUAAUUAUAAAUAUUUUAUAGUAAAUAUAUUAUUUAAUAUAAAAUAACAGUAUAUACAAAAUAAUUAAAAAUAAUAUAUCUAUUAUAAAAUUUAUCCACAACAAAAUUUAUCUACGAUUGAAACUGUCGAUUGUAUAUAUUGUUGCAAUAUGUCGAUUGUAUAUUGUAAUGGGAGUCAUCGAUUAAAAAAUUUAGAUAUUCAAUUUCAAUCACAGACACGAACCAGCCAAAUAAUGUACACAAAAUGUCUGUCUACUUUCCAUUUUUAACCACAAAAUUGUUGGAAAGCCUUCACACUUAGAAGUCAAAUUCUCAAUCUUUCUUUGUUAGACAUUUAUGAAAAUUUCAAACAGGAUUUGUUAGGAGCACAGCGUACUGACGAUUAUCAUUCACCCAUAAUGCUUCCUUUCCAGAGACUUUGGGUUACAACAUUAAAAGAUAUUCUUGUGAGAAGAUUAUUUACACCGUAUGAUGAUUUACCUAGAGGGAGAAGCAUUACAGUCAUUCCAUCUCAUAUAGUAUCAGUAAAAGCAGUUCCAAAAUUGACAUCCAUUCACUGUAGAUGCUUGCCCCUCCGUGGGAUCCGACUACCUACCAGUAUCAGAGUUACUUCAUCUAAACAAUCAUACCUUCUGCCUGUUAGUAGUAGUAGUUCGGUUUACAUGCGGUGGUUCCAAGUAAUUGUCUGGUUCAUCUUCAUCAUCAGAAGAUAGAAGGGAUGAUCCCAUCCAUGCCUUAAAGCCUUCACUGACGCGCCUUUCAACCUCUGGUGUGACUUCCAAAGUGUUUGCUUCCAACAUUUCCAGACCAAGAUUUUGACCGCUAAAAUCACUUUCAUCAAGAAUUACAGAUGCUUUCCUUCUCAAACAGAAGGCAGUUCCGGCGUAUAAAAUGACCAGCCCCCAUGUCGCAAUCUCAUAGCACCAGAAUAAAGGUAAGGAACAACUACUCCCUAGUGUCAGGAGGCUUGCACCAAGAAACAGAGCAAGAAGACCAAAGACGACAGCGAAGACAAUAUUCAAAAUUGACAGACAACGUGCUCCGCCUAUAUAAUCACAAAAACAAAGAAGAUAUUUAGAUGAGGAUGACUUAACUAGCUUAGCAACCGUUUAGCAUACAAUAGAGCACCAUCACGAUUGCAAUGCAAAGCAAGAUAAUUUUUUUAAAAAAAAAAAAGAGUCUAAUUCCUAAGUUUCCAGUAAAAACAAAGAAUUAAUGCACAACAAAAAGACGGGAUAUAAGGCCAUGCACCAGGAUUAGCUAACAAGCAAGUUGCAGAGCUAAUAUUGCAUGAUCAAAAGAUAUUGAAGCAGACUAAAUGCGAAAAUGUGUAAUAUAUUCGAACUAAUUUCAUUUUCUUUUUGUGUAGAAGAAAAUUUUAAACACCACGCUACAUUGCCAUUCAAACCAUUUCAUUAGAUCUGAUCAAUACAUACAAUGGUAACAAAAUAAAUUUUACUUUAAAAUCACUCAUCUAACUUCAUUAUCUAUUUAUUUAUUUAAGAAAAAAAAACUCCAUUAUCUACUUAUCCUUCUUCUAUCAUAUUAUUCACUUUCCUAUCAAGAAUCCAAAGUUGAUAUACGUAAGAGUUUGCUAAAGACAACCUCCACUUUAUCACCUCAGCAGUCAGCAGCAAUCUAUCAACUAAUAGUUCUCAACUCUUUCUCUAACUUCACCAAGAUUUCUGAUUGCAUUGAUCAGUUUAAAUGCUAUUUAGUUGUGUUUGGUUUAUAUUAGAUAUUUACACGGUUAAGCUUCAGGGAAGUGAAAUUGCCUACAUCUCCUCACCAGGUACCACAUAAAUUUGGCAAAAAUGAAUACAUCUCCUCAUCAGGUACCGCAUAAAUUUGGCAAAAAUGAAAAGGAAAGGAANNNNNNNNNNNNNNNNNNAAAAAAAAAAAAGAAGAAAUUCUUGUGAAAACGAUUUUGUUAUAAAAGGUUUUUAUUACAUGACAGUCUUGCAACUCCCGUUGAAACAGAGAAAUAGGGAGAGAAAGAGAGAGUAGAAUGGGCUGAGAAAAGAAAUAGAAAGGGGAGAAGUAAUAGAGAGAAUUAGAGAAGGGAAAGAGAAGAAGAGAAAGAGUUUACCUUUGAUUGCUAAUGGUCGUGGAUAUCUUUAUUUUUACAAGUAAGUUCCUAUGUAUACUACUUUGGGUGCCACAAUUACUUUCUACAGUUACUUUAUUUUUACAAUAAGUUCCUAUGUAUACUACUUUGGGUGCCACAAUUACUUUCUAUAGUUACAAUCGAAUGCAAAGACUAAUCCAAUACUUCUUUAUUCCUUACUCAUAACAUCCUCGACCCCUUGAAACAAGAAUGAAGAAAAUGCAGAAAAUUGAAAUGAAUUUCUAUUCCUUCUUUCCCCAGACUCGGAAGGAUGUAAAAAUCCCACAUUGCAGCUUUUGCUAGUCAGUUAAUCCCCUGAAUUUAGAACCCCAAAUGUUAACUUCCAGCAUGUGCUUCAACUGAAAUGUUCCAGAAAGUUGGGCUAAAGUUGGCAAUGAUUUUAUGGACUCUUUGUUGAUGAGGAAUUUUUUUUUUCCUUUUUCUUCUUCAGCUGAAAUGACCCAUAAAGCUUAGCUGAAGAUGCUAGACUUUCUUCCUAUUCCUUCUCCAAAUUUCCCAUGCUUGUUCCUUCAAGAUCACAAUAGAAUUUGAUGUCAUAUCCUUCUUCCUUUCUCUUCUUGCUAUUUCCCAUUUAUCUUCCAUAAGAAUUCCAGGAUGACAACUGUUGUACUCACUGUCUUGGCUCCAAAAAUAUUGCCACAUAUUUCCAACACCCACACCUCUUGUAACACCUUUAUCUUUCUUUUCUCCAAGAGCAUUUCCAAGAAUUUCAAUAGCAAAAAACUCAGUUUUGGACUAAAUUGUGCAAACAUUUCAGAUUCCACUAAUAUUGUCCUUAUUUCAAACUCUAGUUGCCCCAUCAUCACCAUCUUCAUCGUUCUUCUCCUCAUUGAUCUCACUUACAUUAGACAUGUCAACAAAAAGCUCCUGCUCCACCUCAAUGGUUUUGUCUUUCUUAGAAGUUUCACAUGAGACAUCUUGUUCUUCACUAAGCUUUUCAAAAAUUUGAUUUUCAUUGAUCAAGACUGCAAUCUUUUCCUUUCUCACUUGAAUUGCUUGCUCAAACCUUCCAUUUUCUGAUCUAAAUUUUCUACUUUUUGAAUCACUUUUUUGAAUUUUUGUUCCAACUACUCCUGUUCUUUUAAUCUUCUAUCUAGAAUUACUUGACCUUCAUUAAGAAAAAUUUGUGCCAAAUAUUGC